GGCGCUGUGGCUUAGUUGGUCAAAGUGCCUGUCUAGUAAACAGGAGAUACUGGGUUCAAAUCCCAGCAGUGCCU
Molecule: transfer RNA, 74 nt
Filed under: Danio rerio (zebrafish)
Lineage: Eukaryota; Metazoa; Chordata; Actinopteri; Cypriniformes; Danionidae
Rfam family: tRNA
About the family: Transfer RNA (tRNA) molecules are approximately 80 nucleotides in length.
Source: Rfam by way of RNAcentral